UUUCUACUACAGCGAUGGAGUGGCGACCCGUCCAGGGUGAACCUGCUGGGUGGCAACUGGUGGUUAAUGGCUGAACUGCGAGAAAAUAAAUUCUUCAAGAGGAAACACACAUCAUGGACAAAGAGCUUAAGUUUCUCUUUUGGUAUCCCUCUCCAUCCGCCCUCAAACGGUGCACAGCUGAAGAGAGAGAGGCCGGAUCUCCAGAACAACAAGGACACAGGUGGAAUCAACGCAACUCAAAACACCUGCAAGGAUGUUUCAACAUCUCAGACUCAGACAGCUACUGGGACGAAAUGGAAACUUUAUAUAAUUUAUAGAAGAAGUUUGAUGUUUAAUUUUAGUAGGUUAACUAAUGGAACUGGUUUAUUAAGUGUUUAAAUUGGUACCUCAGGUAGUCUGUCUUGUUUGAUUCAUUAAGUUAGUAUUAGAAUGAUUUAACUGGCCUUGUUGACCUAACACUGCUACAGAAAGUAAAGUAAUAAUGUUCUGUGAUUAGUUCAUUGAAGUACUGUUUAAGUUAAAGGUAAAUUAAACUAAUUAAGGUCAUUUUUA
Notolabrus celidotus (New Zealand spotty) is the source of this 552-nucleotide long non-coding RNA. RefSeq lists it as uncharacterized. The record is from RefSeq and is a predicted model, not a curated record. NCBI's taxonomy places the organism in Eukaryota, Metazoa, Chordata, Actinopteri, Labriformes, Labridae. The transcript has 2 exons.